RNAcentral lists this ribosomal RNA (1499 nucleotides) under uncultured Treponema sp. RNAcentral's name for it is "bacterial SSU rRNA". It matches the Rfam family "Bacterial small subunit ribosomal RNA". The record is from RNAcentral. Lineage: Bacteria; Pseudomonadati; Spirochaetota; Spirochaetia; Treponematales; Treponemataceae.
UAGAGUUUGAUCCUGGCUCAGAACGAACGCUGGCGGCGCGUUUUAAGCAUGCAAGUCGAGCGGGAUUAUCCAGCUUGCUGGAUAUGAGAGCGGCGGACUGGUGAGUAACGCGUGGGUGACGUGCCCUUCUGCCCGGGAUAGCCGGUAGAAAUACCGGAUAAUACCGGAUGAGCUCCGCGGCGCUGGAGGCCGCGGAGGAAAGGAGCUAUUGUUCCGCGGAAGGAGCGGCCCGCGUCCCAUCAGCUGGUUGGCGGGGAAAAGGCCCACCAAGGCGAUGACGGGUACCCGGCCUCAGAGGGCGACCGGGCACAUUGGGACUGAGAUACGGCCCAGACUCCUACGGGAGGCAGCAGCUAAGAAUAUUCCGCAAUGGGGGAAACCCUGACGGAGCGACGCCGCGUGGACGACGAAGGCCGGAAGGUUGUAAAGUCCUUUUGUGGCUGAGGAAGAAGGGCAGGUCGGAAGCCUGUCCGGUGACUGUAGGCCAUGAAUAAGCACCGGCUAAUUACGUGCCAGCAGCCGCGGUAACACGUAAGGUGCGAGCGUUGUUCGGAAUCAUUGGGCGUAAAGGGCAUGUAGGCGGCCGCGCAAGUCUGGAGUGAAAUGCCGGGGCUCAACCCCGGAACUGCUCUGGAAACUGCGGGGCUGGAGUCGCCGAGGCGGAGCCGGAAUUUCCAGGUGUAGGGGUGAAAUCUGUAGAUAUCUGGAAGAACACCGAUGGCGAAGGCAGGCUUCGAGCGGACGACUGACGCUGAGGUGCGAAGGUGCGGGGAGCGAACAGGAUUAGAUACCCUGGUAGUCCGCACAGUAAACGAUGCACACUGGGUGUCUGGGCAUGAGCCCGGGUGCCGAAGCAAACACGGUAAGUGUGCCGCCUGGGGAGUAUGCCCGCAAGGGUGAAACUCAAAGGAAUUGACGGGGGCCCGCACAAGCGGUGGAGCAUGUGGUUUAAUUCGAUGGUACGCGAGGAACCUUACCUGGGUUUGACAUACACGGUGAGACGGCCGAGAGGCCGGGGCCCGGCAACGGGACCGUGAACAGGUGCUGCAUGGCUGUCGUCAGCUCGUGCCAUGAGGUGUUGGGUUAAGUCCCGCAACGAGCGCAACCCCUACCGCCGGUUACCAACAGGUAAAGCUGGGGACUCAGGCGGAACUGCCCCCGACAAGGGGGAGGAAGGUGGGGAUGACGUCAAGUCAGCAUGGCCCUUAUGUCCAGGGCUACACACGUGCUACAAUGGCAGCUACAGAGUGAAGCGAGGCCGCGAGGCGGAGCGAAGCGCAGAAAGGCUGCCGUAGUUCGGAUUGAAGUCUGAAACCCGACUUCAUGAAGUUGGAAUCGCUAGUAAUCGCGCAUCAGCACGGCGCGGUGAAUACGUUCCCGGGCCUUGUACACACCGCCCGUCACACCAUCCGAGUCGGGGACACCCGAAGCCGGCAGGCCAACCCGCAAGGGGAGCCGCUGUCGAAGGUAUGCCCGGUGAGGAGGGUGAAGUCGUAACA